UGCUAUGGCCAUGCUGCCCUAAACAAGCCUGACCCCGUCUGAUGUCGGAAGCUAAGCAGGGUCGGGCCUGGUUAUUACUUGGAUGGGAGACCACUUAGGAAGACCAUGUGCUGUAGGAG
RNAcentral lists this ribosomal RNA (119 nucleotides) under Pteropus alecto (black flying fox). Lineage: Eukaryota; Metazoa; Chordata; Mammalia; Chiroptera; Pteropodidae. The record is from RNAcentral.